GGAUGCGAUCAUACCAGCGCUAAAGCAACAGAUCCCAUCGGAAGUCUGAAGUUAAGUGUGCUUGGGCGAGAGUAGUACUAGGAUGGGUGACCUCCUGGGAGUCCUCAUGAUGCAUUCC
Non-coding RNA from Triticum aestivum (bread wheat), 118 nucleotides. NCBI's taxonomy places the organism in Eukaryota, Viridiplantae, Streptophyta, Magnoliopsida, Poales, Poaceae. The record is from Rfam.